This 441-nucleotide unclassified non-coding RNA is filed under the name Hevea brasiliensis (rubber tree). The record is from RNAcentral. Lineage: Eukaryota; Viridiplantae; Streptophyta; Magnoliopsida; Malpighiales; Euphorbiaceae.
UAAGUCCACGGAACUCUUAGGCCUCCUCAUCAGCAGCCGCAGCCUUGGAGCCACCAGCCUUCUUAGGCAGCAGAAGGUUGUGGAUGUUGGGCAUCACUCCACCAUUGGCAAUGGUAACAGUCCCCAGCAGCUUCGAGAGUUCUUCAUCAUUUCUCACUGCAAGCUGGAUGUGCCUUGGGACGAUCCUGGUCUUCUUAUUGUCCCUUGCGGCAUUCCCAGCUAACUCAAGAACCUCAGCGGCGAGAUACUCCAGCACGGCGGCGAGGUACACCGGAGCUCCGGCGCCGACCCGCUCGGCGUACUUGCCGGCCUUGAGGAAUCGAGCGAUCCUCCCCACCGGGAACUGAAGCCCCGCCUUGCUGCUCCUCGACGUCGCCUUCUUCGACCCGCCAGCGCCGAUCGCCUUCCCCCUUCCGGCCAUCGCUGAGAUCUAGAGAGAGG